Xenopus laevis (African clawed frog) is the source of this 492-nucleotide long non-coding RNA. RefSeq lists it as uncharacterized. The transcript has 3 exons. Lineage: Eukaryota; Metazoa; Chordata; Amphibia; Anura; Pipidae. The record is from RefSeq and is a predicted model, not a curated record.
AAUUCCAAAAGUUAUGGAGGAGUGUACCAGUAGAUUCCAUGGAUGAUGAGAAGAUUGAAGAAUACCUAAAAAGGCAGGGAAUUUCUUCGAUGCAAGAAUCCGGACCAAAGAAAAUUGUUUUUCUCAGUGCUUUAUCCUAAUCACAUGGGUAAUAAUAUAUGCUGGUGAUUGGUUUCCUCUCUAAUUUCACAUGACUCCAAUCUGGUGCACGUGAUUGGAUUCCAGUGCAGAAGAGGAAGAAGGCCACCUCACAGCGGAGGAGGUUUAAGACACAUAAUGACCACUUGGCGGGAAUGCUGAAAGAUUAUACAGAUGUUACUCCAGGCAAACUAUAAGUUGGACUAAGGACGUUUACUGAGUAUCUUCACUGUAAGAUCUCCUUAGCUGCUCAUCAACUCCAAACCUUAUUGGUUACUUUAUAUUUCCCUUCACAGACUCAAAAAUCCAGUGUUACUUCCUCUGGGUGUCAGAGAGACCAUUUAUUUCAGUCUU